UGGCGGCGAGGUAAGGUGGUAUUGAAGUGUGUUGAUCUGAAAGUGACGAACAGAACUGAUUGAUGAUAGAAUUGGCGGAAAAUCGCUUCGAAGAACCUGACCGUGCAGAAGAUGCAACCAGAGAUGAUCAUCACAGUUGGAACUCGAUAUCUGAAGGUU
Long non-coding RNA from Limulus polyphemus (Atlantic horseshoe crab), 159 nucleotides. RefSeq lists it as uncharacterized. The transcript is spliced from 2 exons. The record is from RefSeq and is a predicted model, not a curated record. NCBI's taxonomy places the organism in Eukaryota, Metazoa, Arthropoda, Merostomata, Xiphosura, Limulidae.